RNAcentral lists this ribosomal RNA (404 nucleotides) under uncultured bacterium. Its description in RNAcentral is "bacterial SSU rRNA". It matches the Rfam family "Bacterial small subunit ribosomal RNA", at positions 355 to 776 of the family's 1533-position model. The record is from RNAcentral.
CAAGGAAUUUUCCCCAAUGGCCUAACGGCUGAGGGAGCAACGUCGCGUGCAGGACGACGGCCUUCGGGUUGUAAACUGCUUUUAGGGGGGAAGAUACUGACGGUACCCCCUGAAUAAGCCCCGGCUAACUCCGUGCCAGCAGCCGUGGUAAGACGGAGGGGGCAAGCGUUGUCCGGAAUCACUGGGCGUAAAGCGCACGUAGGUGGUCGUGUGCGUCGAUGCUGAAAGCGCCGGGCUUAACCCGGCGAGGUGCAGCGAUACGACACGACUCGAGGCAGGGAGAGGGUGGCGGAAUUCCGGGUGUAGUGGUGAAAUGCGUAGAGAUCCGGAGGAACGCCAGUGGUGAAGACGGCCACCUGGUCCUGUCCUGACACUGAGGUGCGAUAGCGUGGGGAGCGAACCGG